UACGAAGGGUGCAAGCGUUACUCGGAAUUACUGGGCGUAAAGCGUGCGUAGGUGGUGAGUUAAGUCUGUCGUGAAAGCCCCGGGCUCAACCUGGGAAUGGCGAUGGAUACUGGCUCGCUAGAGUGCGGUAGAGGAGAGUGGAAUUCCCGGUGUAGCAGUGAAAUGCGUAGAGAUCGGGAGGAACACCAGUGGCGAAGGCGGCGACCUGGGCAGAUACUGACGCUGAGGUGCGAAAGCGUGGGGAGCAAACAGG
RNAcentral lists this ribosomal RNA (253 nucleotides) under uncultured bacterium. RNAcentral describes it as "partial 16S ribosomal RNA". It matches the Rfam family "Bacterial small subunit ribosomal RNA", at positions 524 to 776 of the family's 1533-position model. The record is from RNAcentral.